UUAUGUCCCUAUGAAGAAAACACAACAGAGACAGAGAGAAACAGACACUCCCUCCUGCAAUAAUGAAAGCUGCUAAACUAAAUGUUCCCCAUUGAGCCAGUACCACACCGAAAUUUUCCAGGGAGCAGUUGCCUGGAAAAGGGAAGGAAGAAAAGCUGAAGAUGGAGUGAUGGGAGGUGUUUUGUAUGCAUCAGUCAACCAAGGACUCAUCCUGAAGAAGCCCUCAGUCAGCACCGAGAUCUCGGUGAAAAGGGGAGAGUCGGCUUGUAAAAUAUUCAUAGCAAAAGAUGCCUCUUGCUGGAAGAGAGUUCUGCAGAUACCAUGGACAGCAAAAAAGACAAAUAAGUGGGCUGUAGAUCAAAUCAAGCCUGAAUUCUCCCUAGAAACUAGAAUGACAAGACUAAAGCUAUCGUUCUUUGGUCACAUCAUGAGAAGACAAGAUUCUCUGGAAAAGUCAAUAAUGCUAGGAGAAGUGGAAGGCAGUAGGAAAAAAGGAAGACCUAAAGUGAGAUGGCUUGACUCAAUAAAAGAAGCCAUGUCCUCCAAUUUGCAGGGUCUGAGCAAAUCUGUUAAUGAUAGGACAUUCUGGAUGUCUUUCCUUCAUAGGAUUGCCAUAUGUCAGAGGCGACUCGAUGGUACAUAACACACAGAAGCUGCCUCAGGCAGGUUCCUGGAGAGGCAGCAUAAAUAAAUAUAUAGAUGAAUAAAUAAAUAGAUGAAUGAAUAUAUUUGAGUUAAUUUGAGCUGCUGUAGCAUAGUGGUUAAGUGAUUGGGUUGAGAAUCAACAUUCUGCUGCUUUUAACUCCCGCUACUGCCAUGAGCUCAGCAGGUGACCUUGGGUAAGCCUCUCUUUUC
Eublepharis macularius is the source of this 855-nucleotide long non-coding RNA. RefSeq lists it as uncharacterized. The record is from RefSeq and is a predicted model, not a curated record. The transcript has 4 exons. Lineage: Eukaryota; Metazoa; Chordata; Lepidosauria; Squamata; Eublepharidae.